Molecule: small RNA, 2575 nt
Filed under: Arabidopsis thaliana (thale cress)
Lineage: Eukaryota; Viridiplantae; Streptophyta; Magnoliopsida; Brassicales; Brassicaceae
Description: ATSL203840
Source: RNAcentral
CUUAAGCGGAAGGUCACCUUCGUACCAGCACCUAUGCACAUCGAAAACCCAAUAAUAGGGACCAAGACACGUACAACGGCUGUUUUCCCAAGGCUACUGAUAAUAGGUUUUUAGUCAGUUAUCCUAAAACACCAAUCAUGUCGUUGUAGUAUUUUAGGUUGUCAAUCCAAAUGGGUGUGAUGCUAACAAUCAAGAUGCAAUCAGAAUUCACAGAGUCAAGCCAAGCAAUAACAGGUUUUGGGGUUUCUAGCAAUCCUAAGUGAACAUGCAGGAAACAAAAAUUCAAGUAGAACAGUAUAAACACUCGACCAACACAGCUUGUUGCCAAGCACUGGGUGUGGUUGAGUGACAGGUCGAGUAACAAACAGAAAAUGUAACAGGGAUACUCGACUACACAGUCUGUUGCCAGACAACAAGGUGGUCGAGUAUCAGGUCGAGUAACUAGCAGAAAAUGCAAAAACUAAACAACAAGAAGCGUGAUGCAGUAAACUAUAACAGGGUAAACAAAGAAAUCAAUUGGAUGAGAAAUUCCCAAGGAUGGGGUAAUUGAGUAGUUUCGUUUCCUCAGUUUACAAGUGAUUGACAAGCUCAAUAAAUUAUCCCUAGACAACAAGUUCAAUAACCAAAUCUAAGUGCCACCGCAACAGAGACCCUCACGUUAAACUUGUCCCAGACUCAAUCACCAUUGAUGAGAGCUAACCUAACAGGAAUUACGAAUCAACAAGUUCAAGCCAAAACGCUCCCUGUAACCAAUACCUUGGUACAAAGCCACAAAUCUUUGGAAUUAGUGGUUCAGACAUUUCAUCCAACACCUUUUGGGCGCGGAAAUGGCUGGGCUCAAAUUCCAAUUAAUCAGAAAGCAAUAGGCAUUAAGAACAACUAAUCCAGAAGGGAUCUAUCAAUCAAACUCAACCACCUAGCAUACUGAGAAUUCUAAACUACUCUAACCCAUCCUCAGAAACCAAGUCACUACUCAGACAUCAUUGUAGAAAGCAUAAACGAUGAAUAGAAUGAAAACAUGAUAGCAACAAAGUAAUAACAAGAUGAUAACACGAUGAACAACUUAGUAAACGCAACGAAAAACAAAAUACUGAAUAGAUUAAGAGAAAUCCGUAUUACAAAAUGUCAAGAACACAGUGUCUGCGGAAUUAAAACUUAGUAAACGAAAAUGAAAAAUGCAUUCUACUUAUAGCGAAAUAUUCUGAAACCCUAAUACUCAAAACGACACAAUAUUGGGACGGAUUAAGAACGGCACUCGACCCAGGUGGUCGAGUGAUUGGUCAAGCGAUAAGUUGGAGUCUUCUUCUCUUCCUUCUCCUUGAGUGUCUGGUUGAGUGCGGAAUGGAGAAGACUCUGAAGCUGGCAGUCGAGUAUGAAGUCGAGUGAUGGAGAUGGCGGCACUCGGCUUGGUGGUAGAGUGAUCGGUCGAGUGUGUGAUGAUGGUGAGACUCGGCCGUGCAAUCGAGUGAGUGAUCGAGUGAAGGUGAUGGAAGUACUCGACCUGGGGGUCGAGUGGUGUGAUCGAGUGAUGGUCGGGUGGUGGAGAUGAUGAUACUCGACCAUGGGGUCGAGUGGUGGUGUGAAGUGAUAAGGCCUUCUACUCGACCAGGAGGUCGAGUGGUUUGUUAAAAUCGCGGAGCCAUCUACUCGACCAUGGGGUCGAGUGUAUUGAUAUGAUCAGGUCCGCUUCUUCCAAUUAGCUCGCCAACAGCUCCAAAUCACCUGAAAACAACACAAAUAUGCAACAAACAUGCAAAACUAUCCUAAACAUGCAAAGUGAUGACAAAUGAUGAGAAAUGGUAUAAAACAGUGGUGAUAUGAUGCUACAGUGAUGACAAAUGGAUGCUCAAAACAUGUAAAAUGCACACUUAUGAACUCUCCCAAACUUAUUCUUUGCUUGCCCUCAAGCAAACAAUUAAGAACAAGAUGGAGGUGAGGUUUGAAAGCGGGGACUCAGAGCCAAAGCACCAGAUAAAUCAGAUGAAAUCAAUGUCCAAGUUGGUAGUUCUAAGCUGAGGUAUGAGCGAAUUCUACUCAAAAACGUUAGUCAUGCCUUGCUAUUAAUCAAUUCGACUCUUAUGCUUGACCUACACAUGUUUUCAAAUCUACCAAUCCCUUUAACAUUCAUUAGUUUUGGAACGUGAAUCAAGCAAUGCAUCAUCAAUGAACUCAUUUGGCUAAGGUAAAGGUAAAGAGACAAAGAUGGUCCCUUACAGAAUAGGCUUUAGUAACAGGGGAUCUCUCAAAAAUGAUUAAGCUUAAGUAGAAUGUUAAAGGUAGUCCCAAGCUAUGCAUACAGAGAUAAGAUCCCAUCUACCCAGAGUAUAACCAAGGAAACUCUAAUGGUAAUCCCAUCUUCAAUCCCAAUAUAAGAACUUAACUCUACCCUUUGCAUUCAUGAUUCUUUUAAACCAUUUUUCUAAUCAUUCUUUUCUUUUCUCUUAACUCUAGGAGAAGCUUUCUCAACACUUUGAUACAUCUAGCAGAUUUGGAUUUCUUUAACAACUAAGGUUCUUGUUUUUAAAAUUUUAAAACCGAGGGCUUUUGCCCUUCUUCAUUAGCUAACAAGAACUAU